AGGGCAUGAUAAGAACAUUUCCAAAUAAGUUCCUUAAAUCUUUCCAACAAUUCAUAAAUAGAUUCUCCAUCUAACUAGGUAAAGGAAGUAAUGUCAUUUCUAAAUUU
Molecule: small nucleolar RNA, 107 nt
Organism: Dendrobium catenatum
Lineage: Eukaryota; Viridiplantae; Streptophyta; Magnoliopsida; Asparagales; Orchidaceae
Source: RefSeq, a predicted model, not a curated record